UACGUAGGGUGCGAGCGUUAAUCGGAAUUACUGGGCGUAAAGCGUGCGCAGGCGGUUCGUUGUGUCGGUGGUGAAAGCCCCGGGCUUAACCUGGGAAUGGCCAUGGAAACUGGCGAACUGGAGUGUGGCAGAGGGGGGUGGAAUUCCGCGUGUAGCAGUGAAAUGCGUAGAGAUGCGGAGGAGCACCGAUGGCGAAGGCAGCCCCCUGGGCUAGCACUGACGCUCAGGCACGAAAGCGUGGGGAGCAAACAGG
RNAcentral lists this ribosomal RNA (253 nucleotides) under uncultured bacterium. RNAcentral describes it as "partial 16S ribosomal RNA". It matches the Rfam family "Bacterial small subunit ribosomal RNA", at positions 524 to 776 of the family's 1533-position model. The record is from RNAcentral.